UUUCAAAAACUGUAAUUUUCUUCAUGGAUCCGUAGGUUCUAAUCAUACCACACGCGCAUAAAUUUUCGUAGCAGCAAAAGAUAAAUUUUUCAGUGAAACAUUAAACAUUUUUUAUUUUACAAUGUGAAAUUGCCGAAUGAAAUAAUAAUUGAGUAUUUGGCAAAGCUGAAGAAGAAACGGAAAAAUGCUUGCUCUGGAAUCGAUAAUUCCGAUAUUGGCCGAGACUCUUCACUUCCAUACAACCAAGUUGGUCCCUGCCACCAUUGACUCUGCAGAAGGUCCGACCAGUCACAAGUUCGGGUAGGUAAGUCUGCUGGGUUGACGUCUCCAGGAACAUGUCUCCAAUCAUCUAUAUUGGUCAGUUUGCUGAUGUCUUUCCCUCGAUUUCCAAUGAAGGAUCUUCUCCUUAGAUUAGUACUUUCGAGAACAUUCCAGCCUAUUACGUAACCGCUUCUAUAAAUAGAGAACUCGCGCCAUUUUGCGACAGAGACCUCCCUUUGCUGCUAAGAUCUGUGCUGCUGCUCUUCUGCCUUUCUUUGUUAGAAUACUAUGACGCAGUGAAAUUAAUUUAUUUAGUAGAGAUCGAUGAUAUGCCUUU
Stegodyphus dumicola is the source of this 598-nucleotide long non-coding RNA. The record is from RefSeq and is a predicted model, not a curated record. Lineage: Eukaryota; Metazoa; Arthropoda; Arachnida; Araneae; Eresidae.